UACGUAGGGGGCGAGCGUUGUCCGAAGUUACUGGGCGUAAAGAGCGCGUAGGCGGGCUUCUAAGUGAGAGGUGAAAGGUUCGGGCUCAACCCGGAGAGUGCCUUUCAUACUGGGAGCCUUGAGUGCGGGAGAGGCAAGUGGAAUGGUCGGUGUAGCGGUGAAAUGCGUAGAUAUCGUAAGGAAGACCAGUGGCGAAGGCGGGUCUCUGGACAGUUCCUGACACUGAGGCACGAAGGCCAGGGGAGCAAACGGG
Molecule: ribosomal RNA, 253 nt
Filed under: uncultured bacterium
Lineage: Bacteria
Description: partial 16S ribosomal RNA
Rfam family: Bacterial small subunit ribosomal RNA
Source: RNAcentral